CCAUAGCCAAUCUAAUGUAGUGUUUGAUUUGUUUAACCAAGGUUUUAGCUUUUUUACAAAAUGACAAUUACCUUCGACAAAACUUGAGCUAACCUUGGGAGAUCAGUGAAGGCUCAAGGGUCUCGAUGUCAUUUGACUAGAAAGGGGAAAUUUGAACACUUUUCAGAGUUUAUGGAUGCAGAAAAUUCACAUUUAGGUGUCUUGCAAAUUAUAAGUAUACAAAAUUGUACAGAUUUAAAGUUAAGCGAGAGUGAGAGAUGCCAAAAAAAAAUCACAAAUGUGUGCACAAUCAUAAUGACAGGGCUUGCACUUUUAGAAGAUGAAUCUUAUGAAGAUGUGUAGAAACUGGAUCUUAAUUUUCCCUAGCUGUCAAAGAUACUCCACUGGCCGCUGUCUAGGUGAGCUUCCUGGGCUGAAGCUUUCAUCAGUGCAUCAGGGGAUCUGAUUCACCUUUUUUGGAAGAUGUAGGCAUUCCAGACAAACCAAAAAUUGUAGGCAAUGUAGGAGGCAAGAGUCACUUGAUUCCUCUGAGGCCCUUUUUGAGCAUCCUGCUUGAGGUAUGCCAGGAAGUCAUCUACGGUGAUGGAAGGCCAUGUAGCCAG
RNAcentral lists this long non-coding RNA (602 nucleotides) under Elaeis guineensis (African oil palm). RNAcentral describes it as "long non-coding RNA (EGUI_LNC023022)". Lineage: Eukaryota; Viridiplantae; Streptophyta; Magnoliopsida; Arecales; Arecaceae. The record is from RNAcentral.